Molecule: small nuclear RNA, 101 nt
Filed under: Moschus moschiferus (Siberian musk deer)
Lineage: Eukaryota; Metazoa; Chordata; Mammalia; Artiodactyla; Moschidae
Source: RNAcentral
UUGCUUCGGCAGCACAUACACUAGAACUGGAAUGGUAGCGAAGAUGAGCAUCACCCCUGUGAAAGGGUAACAUGCAAACUCAUGAAGCGUUCCGUAUUUUU